This is a long non-coding RNA of Durio zibethinus, 687 nucleotides long. RefSeq lists it as uncharacterized. The record is from RefSeq and is a predicted model, not a curated record. NCBI's taxonomy places the organism in Eukaryota, Viridiplantae, Streptophyta, Magnoliopsida, Malvales, Malvaceae.
ACCUGAGAGUGAGGGAUGAUUUUGACUAUCAAUUUCUUUCACUCCACGAAUUUCAUCCUCUUCUCACCAAAAGAACAUUUAGACAGCAGAUUUGCUAUGCUACCCCAAUUUUAUUGCUUCUUUCCCACAACUCCUCCUUCGUUUCAAGCUCUACUGCUGCACUAUCACCAUGUGUUAUUAGAGUUGGUUAGGAGAGAGAUUGCUCCAUCAACUUAUCUGGCUUCAAGCUAGGCCUUGAGAUCUUUGGCCUCUUCAUUAUAUGUGGAACUUGGGAUCUCAUCAUUUUGGAAAGGGAUAUAAUCUUAGAUCUUCUUGAUCGUAUACGUGAAGCGAUUUGACAUGUUGGUGAUGGACUCAUACUCAGUGAGUAACUAAGUAUCCAUAUCUUGGAUUCUUUAACUUGGUUGAUGCCUUCAGCCUCACAUCCAAAUCCUACAAAACUAACUUGAUUAUCUGAGCAAACCUAAUGGAUCAAGGGAAAAAACCUCAGCAAGAAGGUUAGAGGGUUAUUCAAAAGAAGCAAACUGAAAAGGUUUCUUCUUUUUUUUCUUCAACUUCAAACUAUCUUCAAAAUAAUCCUAUUUCAGGAUUAUUCAUUUACCAACCUUAUGGAUAUUUACCUCAUCAGCUUCUAUAAAAGCCAUUUUACCAUAAGAGAUUUUAACUAGAUUUCUUUCAAAAUGCUCA